Molecule: long non-coding RNA, 551 nt
Filed under: Pan troglodytes (chimpanzee)
Lineage: Eukaryota; Metazoa; Chordata; Mammalia; Primates; Hominidae
Description: lincRNA
Source: RNAcentral
CUCGCUCCCGCCAGAGCUUGGGAUCAGUCUCUGCUGUUUUGAGUCCUCCACCUCGGGAGCCCCCGGUGACUGUCACAGCCUCUUGCCCUGUGAUCUGCAGGUUCUGGGAGACGCACAGCUAAGAUGCCAGGACAUCCUGGAAGCUGGGAAAAGGCAGAGUUUCACUCUCGUUGCCCAGGCUGGAGUGCAAUGGCGUGAUCUCAGCUCACUACAACCUCCACCUCCCAGGUUCAAGGGAUUCUCCUGCCUCAGCCUCCCAAGUUCUGACAACAAAGGAGAUUGUGACACAUUGCUGGGCCUAACACUAAGUUGAUGUUAGUUAUUUGCUUUGGCUGUGCCCUUGGAAGGCAUUGAGACAUACUGCUAUGCCCAGCACCAAGAUGAUGUAACGUGACUCUUCUGCUUCAGGCCUGCCAAAAGAAAAGAUUGUGACAGAUCACUGGACCCAGCACCUAGGUAGGAUUGUGACAUAUAUCUGGCCAAGCGUACAGAUGUAAUAAUGACUGUCAUACCUUGAAGAAGCCAAUAGGAGAGAGAAUGUUGCUCUCAGG